Molecule: ribosomal RNA, 503 nt
Filed under: uncultured Lachnospiraceae bacterium
Lineage: Bacteria; Bacillati; Bacillota; Clostridia; Lachnospirales; Lachnospiraceae
Description: partial 16S ribosomal RNA
Source: RNAcentral
CACGUAGUUAGCCGGGGCUUCUUGGUCAGGUACUGUCAUUUUCUUCCCUGCUGACAGGGCUUUACGCACCGGAGUGCUUCUUCACCCACGCGGCAUCGCUGCAUCAGGGUUCCCCCCAUUGUGCAAUAUUCCCCACUGCUGCCUCCCGCAGGAGUCUGGGCCGUGUCUCAGUCCCAAUGUGGCCGUCCACUCUCUCAAGCCGGCUACUGAUCCGUUGUCUUGGUAGGCCGUUACCCUGCCAACUAACUAAUCAGACGCGGGCCCAUCCUGUACCACCGUGGUUUUCCCUGCUGUGCCAUGCGGCACAGCAGGCUUAUGCGGUAUUAGCAGCCAUUUCUGGCUGGUUCGUCCCCCGGUACAGGGCAGGUUCGCCCACGGCGUUACUCACCCGUCCGCCACGUAGGUUUAUAUACUCCUUCCCUCCGAAGUACGUUCCGUUAUACUAAACCCCGUUCGACUUUCGCUAUUGUGUUAGGCUAGUGCCGCCGAGUCGUUCACUCCGU